This 464-nucleotide ribosomal RNA is filed under the name Vreelandella stevensii. RNAcentral's name for it is "partial 16S ribosomal RNA". It matches the Rfam family "Bacterial small subunit ribosomal RNA", at positions 338 to 795 of the family's 1533-position model. The record is from RNAcentral. Lineage: Bacteria; Pseudomonadati; Pseudomonadota; Gammaproteobacteria; Oceanospirillales; Halomonadaceae.
CCUACGUGCUGCAGCAGUGGGGAAUAUUGGACAAUGGGCGAAAGCCUGAUCCAGCCAUGCCGCGUGUGUGAAGAAGGCCUUCGGGUUGUAAAGCACUUUCAGUGGGAAGAAAGCCUUGGGGCUAAUACCCUCGAGGAAGGACAUCACCCACAGAAGAAGCACCGGCUAACUCCGUGCCAGCAGCCGCGGUAAUACGGAGGGUGCGAGCGUUAAUCGGAAUUACUGGGCGUAAAGCGCGCGUAGGCGGUCUGAUAAGCCGGUUGUGAAAGCCCCGGGCUCAACCUGGGAACGGCAUCCGGAACUGUCAGGCUAGAGUGCAGGAGAGGAAGGUAGAAUUCCCGGUGUAGCGGUGAAAUGCGUAGAGAUCGGGAGGAAUACCAGUGGCGAAGGCGGCCUUCUGGACUGACACUGACGCUGAGGUGCGAAAGCGUGGGUAGCAAACAGGAUUAGAUACCCUGGUAGUC